GUUCCGGUUGCCGGAGAAUGCGAAGAUGGAUGAAGUUAAAGCUAGCAUGGAGAAUGGAGUGCUCACUGUGACUGUUCCCAAGGAGGAGGAGAAGAAGCCUCAGGUCAAGUCCAUUGACAUUUCCGGCUAAAGCAAUGCUGGUCAAGAAAUGCCACCUUGGUUCAAUGGCCUAAAUAAACUCUGCUGUGUUUGCGUUGUGUGUUUGUGAAAGCUUGGCAUCUGUGGAAUUCUUGUAUUAAAAAUAAAAAUAAUUGAAAUGGCAUUUUCUUAAGAUUGUGUUGCAUGUUGGCUUCUCUUGCUUUCAUUGCUUUUGUGUUUCUAGUCUGGUGAUGGUUCUUUGUGUUUGAAGUAUGAGGCUGUGCGUAUCGGUCCUUCGAGAUGGGGUCGAUGCAUGAAGACUGUUGCUAUACCUACUCUUGUGUUUAUGUUUUCUUUAGAUUUUUUUGCUGGCUCCGGUGCCUUGCUCUGGUAUUCGGCAACUGCGACAAUGUGUCGGUGAGAAGCUCUGCGAUUGUCGAUGGUCCGAUUUGAAUUUGGUUUGUUUUUAGAUUUGAUUUUAGUUUAUUUACUUGUGGUUUGAUUUUUUUUGUGUUUUGGGCUUUUCCUUUUUGUAGCCUCUUUGUGUAGCCCUAUGUAUUUUCAACAAAUGCAAUAUACUCAAUAUUAGUAAAUAAGAAGAAAAAUUAUUUUUAAUUCCUAAAAUAUAUCACAAUUAACGAAUAUAUCCCUCAAUUUUUGUAACUUAAUACUUUAGUUCAUAAAAUUUAAUUCUAUAAAAAUUUAAGUUUUCUCCCUUAAAAAUUUAUGUUAAAAUCAAUAAUUUACGUCCGAUAAAAAAAAUUAAAUAUAACACCAAAAAUAUCUUUAUUAAUAAUAAAAUAGAAAAAUUACUAUUUAAUUUCUUUAGUAUAAAACAACUCAAUAGUUAAUACUUUGAUUUUGAAAAAUACUUUAAAAUAUGUUAUUAGUCACUCCGUUAAUUCUGUAGUUAAACAUUUUACUAUUUAGUUCUUAUAAUUUUAAAAAAUUUAUUAGUUGGUCUUUCAAAUUAUUAAAAAGUUUACUAAUUAGUCAUUUCAUGUAUUUUAAAUUUGUUUAUAAUACUUAACGAUUAAAAUUAAUGAAAGGAUUAAUUAGUAGAUAUUUUAAAAUAUCAAAGACGUUUUAAUGCAUUUUCCAAACUAAGAAAUCAAUUAAUGAGUUUUUUCAUAUUAUAAAAUUUAAAUAAUAAUUUUUCCUAAUAAAAAUUCUUUUUACGAUUCUCAUUUUUCUUUUAUCUACUUUAUACCGUCUUUAUUAUUUAUGUCUAAACCAUACUCAAAACUAAUAUGUUAAAAAUUCAUUUUGCAAUAAUUGAGAGGGAAAGGGAGGAUCAGCCAAUGACACAAGUGAUUGACGAUGCAAGCAGCAAGUGAUGCAAGUGGUUGGAGAGACAAAUAGUGAGCAGAUGCAAGCAGAUGGACAUGAGAGCAAUGUGCGAUGUGAGUGGCUAGAGACAUAAACAGUGAUCGACUCGAGCAACGGAAGGUGCAUCAAGUGGCAAAUAAUGAGAACAAUUAGCGACUCGAGCAACGGGUAACUAAAGUAGCAAACAACAAGCAGUGAUUUACAGCGUCAUCACAAAAAUAAUUUAUAUUGAAUUUUAAUUUUUUAUAUUUUUAAUAAUUUAAAUUUUAUAUAUUUUUAUUUUUAUCGAAUUUAAAUAUUGUAUUUAUUAAAAUUUUUGUUUAUUAGUGGAGAUUGAAUUUCAAAUUUUUUUUUUUGAAUUUUCAGAAUUAAAGUGUUGAAUUUAAAAAAUUAGAGAGAUAAAUUUAUAAUUAUGUUAUAUUUCAGGAAUAAAAAAUAUUUUUUCUUUGAUUUUAAUUUUUAUUAUAUCUAUUGAGUUUAAAAUUUAAAUUUAUUAAAAAUUUUAUUUAUUUAUAAAAAUUAAAUUUAAAAUUUUCAAUUUAUAAUUGUGAUUUUAUUGAUUUUAUUUUUUGAGAGAUGUAUUUAUAAAUUUGUAAAAAUUAAAUUUUAAAAAUAAAGUAUUAAAUUCUAAAAAGGUAAUUCAAUUAUUUUUUUAUCUUUAUGCUAUUUUUUUAUGAAAAAAUAUUUAAUUUUAACGAAAUUAAAUUUUAGUAAAUAACCAUCCAAGUUUUGAAAAUAAAAAACUGAAUUCAUUAAUUAGGUUAUAUUUGAUAGAAGAAAAAGUAAUUUUUUCAAAAGAAUGAAAAUUUUCAAACUACCGUCCGCCUCUAAUAAGGGCUUUGUUAUAUAAAGAAGUAUACCUGGGACGGCCUAGCUAAAUAGAACUUCUCUUAUCUAACUUAAUUUGAGUUGGCUUAAUAAUUAAAAAUAAAAAAUAUAUAAUUCAUUCUAGACGCUUAAGUUGGAGCCGUUACUCCAAAUUGGAGGAGCAUAUUGUCAGGUAGGCCAGAGGUCGAUUAGGAGACGAAGAAAAGUUCAUUUUUGAAAGGCGCCGAAGGUUGGAGAAGAAACCAGGGGGUUCCAUCAUUAUCUCUUUUCAUCAUAUAAAUUUACCAUUUAAUUUUUAAAUUUUAUCACUAAUAAUGAUUUAAAAUAUCCUUAUCUUAAAAAUUGAGUUUAUACACUUAAAUUAUUACUUCUAUUUUACUAUUAGUAUAUGAUAAAUUAUCAUUAACUCUAUUUAUAUUAUAGUUACUUACAUAUUUAUUUCUUAAUUUUAUAAUUAUUUAUAAUUUUAUCGAUUAGCUUUAACUCUUUAAUAGAGAAAGAUAUAAACUAUUUAUUUGGAAUAAAAUCUUUAAGAAUCUCAAUUUUUUUAUUUUUAAUUAAAAAUUUAUUUCAUAAUUUAAUAAUUAAAUACAAAUAGCUUAAUUCUUAAUUUGUUGCUUAUAGUUAACUAAAUUUAAAUUAAAACUUGUUAAACCUGACCAAAUUUCCUAUAUAGCAUUAAUAUUUUUUUAACUAAUUAGCUGACAAGACAGGCAUAUGAAUCAAAGGCCUGGGCCAAGAAGGGACCAGACUUUUCUCGUUCAUUCUGUAAUGGGAACGAAGAAGCUAGAAUCCUCUUCACCAUCUUUAUAUAUAUAUAUAUAUAUAUAUACACCUUGCUCCUACCACUGGAACUACAUCAAAGGAGAACAAAACCCUCUUCAGCAUCCUUGCAGCGAAAUUUCCAUUCAAUUUUUCUUUCCAAAUAUGGCGUCGUCCCUCAUUCCCAGCUUCUUUGGCAGCCGCAGAAGCAAUGUGUUUGAUCCAUUUUCCUUGGACAUUUGGGAUCCUUUUGAUGGUUUCUUCACCUCUAAUCUUGCCAAUGCGCCACCCUCAGCAAGGGAAGCCUCAGCUUUCAUAAAUGCAAGAAUCGACUGGAAAGAGACCCCAGAAGCCCAUAUUUUCAAAGCAGAUCUUCCAGGGCUAAAGAAAGAAGAAGUGAAAGUUGAGGUGGAAGAAGGCAGAAUCCUCCAAAUCAGUGGAGAGAGGAGCAAAGAGCAGGAGGAGAAAAAUGAUAAGUGGCACCGCAUAGAAAGAAGCUGCGGAAAGUUCCUGAGGAGGUUCAGGUUGCCUGAGAAUGCUAAGAUAGAUCAAGUUAAAGCUAGCAUGGAGAAUGGAGUGCUCACUGUGACUGUUCCCAAGGAGGAGGAGAAGAAGCCUCAAGUCAAGUCCAUUGACAUUUCCGGCUGAGCAAUACUGCUCUAGAAAUGCCACCUUGGUUCAAAGGACUAAAUAAACUCCGGUGUGUGUGUUUGUGAUCAACCUAAUAUGUGCGUGUGUGAGAGCUUGAAAUAUGUGGAAUCCUUCUAUAAAAAAUGAAAAUAAUUGACUAGCACCUUCUUAAGAUUUCCACAAU
Molecule: long non-coding RNA, 3811 nt
Filed under: Manihot esculenta (cassava)
Lineage: Eukaryota; Viridiplantae; Streptophyta; Magnoliopsida; Malpighiales; Euphorbiaceae
Description: long non-coding RNA (MESC_LNC002547)
Source: RNAcentral